This is a small nuclear RNA of Vulpes vulpes (red fox), 104 nucleotides long. Lineage: Eukaryota; Metazoa; Chordata; Mammalia; Carnivora; Canidae. The record is from Ensembl.
GUGCUUGCUUCGGCAGCACAUGUACUAAAAUUGGAAUGAUACAGUGAUUAGCAUGGCCCCGGCACAAGGAUGAAAUGAAAAUUCAUGAAGCAUUCCAUAUUUUU